AGAGUUUGAUCCUGGCUCAGAUUGAACGCUGGCGGCAGGCCUAACACAUGCAAGUCGAACGGUAGCACAGAGGAGCUUGCUCCUCGGGUGACGAGUGGCGGACGGGUGAGUAAUGUCUGGGAAACUGCCCGAUGGAGGGGGAUAACUACUGGAAACGGUAGCUAAUACCGCAUAACGUCGCAAGACCAAAGAGGGGGACCUUCGGGCCUCUUGCCAUCGGAUGAACCCAUAUGGGAUUAGCUUGUAGGUAAGGUAACGGCUUACCUAGGCGACGAUCCCUAGCUGGUCUGAGAGGAUGAUCAGCCACACUGGGACUGAGACACGGCCCAGACUCCUACGGGAGGCAGCAGUGGGGAAUAUUGCACAAUGGGCGCAAGCCUGAUGCAGCCAUGCCGCGUGUGUGAAGAAGGCCUUCGGGUUGUAAAGCACUUUCAGCGAGGAGGAAAGGUUGAUGCCUAAUACGUAUCAACUGUGACGUUACUCGCAGAAGAAGCACCGGCUAACUCCGUGCCAGCAGCCGCGGUAAUUC
RNAcentral lists this ribosomal RNA (529 nucleotides) under uncultured bacterium. RNAcentral describes it as "bacterial SSU rRNA". It matches the Rfam family "Bacterial small subunit ribosomal RNA", at positions 8 to 526 of the family's 1533-position model. The record is from RNAcentral.